RNAcentral lists this ribosomal RNA (253 nucleotides) under bacterium. RNAcentral's name for it is "partial 16S ribosomal RNA". It matches the Rfam family "Bacterial small subunit ribosomal RNA", at positions 524 to 776 of the family's 1533-position model. RNAcentral also lists the same sequence under 1 other name. The record is from RNAcentral.
UACGGGAGUGGCAAGCGUUAUCCGGAAUUAUUGGGCGUAAAGCGUCCGCAGGCGGUUUUACAAGUCUGUCGUUAAAACGUGGAGCUCAACUCCAUUUCGGCGAUGGAAACUGUAAGACUAGAGUGUGGUAGGGGCAGAGGGAAUUCCCGGUGUAGCGGUGAAAUGCGUAGAUAUCGGGAAGAACACCAGUGGCGAAGGCGCUCUGCUGGGCCAUAACUGACGCUCAUGGACGAAAGCCAGGGGAGCGAAAGGG